This 474-nucleotide ribosomal RNA is filed under the name uncultured bacterium. RNAcentral's name for it is "partial 16S ribosomal RNA". It matches the Rfam family "Bacterial small subunit ribosomal RNA", at positions 28 to 507 of the family's 1533-position model. The record is from RNAcentral.
GACGAACGCUGGCGGCGUGCUUAACACAUGCAAGUCGAACGGUAAGGCCCUUCGGGGUACACGAGUGGCGAACGGGUGAGUCACACGUGGGUAAUCUGCCCUGCACAUCGGGAUAAGCCUGGGAAACUGGGUCUAAUACCGAAUAGGACCACAGGACACAUGUCCUGUGGUGGAAAGCUUUUGCGGUGUGGGAUGGGCCCGCGGCCUAUCAGCUUGUUGGUGGGGUGAUGGCCUACCAAGGCGACGACGGGUAGCCGGCCUGAGAGGGUGUCCGGCCACACUGGGACUGAGAUACGGCCCAGACUCCUACGGGAGGCAGCAGUGGGGAAUAUUGCACAAUGGGCGAAAGCCUGAUGCAGCGACGCCGCGUGGGGGAUGACGGCCUUCGGGUUGUAAACCCCUUUCACCAUCGACGAAGGUCCGGGUUUUCUCGGGCUGACGGUAGGUGGAGAAGAAGCACCGGCCAACUACGUG